This is a long non-coding RNA of Humulus lupulus (European hop), 351 nucleotides long. RefSeq lists it as uncharacterized. NCBI's taxonomy places the organism in Eukaryota, Viridiplantae, Streptophyta, Magnoliopsida, Rosales, Cannabaceae. The transcript has 2 exons. The record is from RefSeq and is a predicted model, not a curated record.
ACAGGAUUUGAGAAUGAUACUAUUCUUGCAUUAAUUGUAUUUUCUCUACAGUAUAUUCUUGUAAACCAUGAAUAUUGGAAAGACAAGGCGAAGCAUACUCGCUGGAGAAUAACAUUGAAGGUAUAUUGAGAUGAUUUCUUUGGAGCAAUUCUUGACAACAUUUGUAGUUGAGGCCUUUAGAAUGGAAGAAUGUAUUUCACUAAUUUUUGUAUACAUUUCUUGUUUUGUAUUUAGUGAUAAAGGAAUCUGAAUUGGGCAUAAAUUAUGUUGUAAUAUGAUUUCUUAAGCCUAGACUAGUAGACUAAAUAUUGUAAUUACAUUUGAGUAAUUAAUAAAAAUCUAUUUAUGUUA